UUGGAUGUGGGGGUUUGUGCAGGCUGCCUCAGUGCGGUCUGCUCCCCUGAAAUGCAUUAGCGAGUUACAACUGGGCUCCGUCUAUUGGUGUGAUAAUUAUCUACGCCGUGGAUUGGGCUUAGACUUGCUUCUAACCGUCCGCAAGGACAAUCUUUUGACAAUUUGACCUCAAAUCAGGUAGGACUACCCGCUGAACUUAA
This 200-nucleotide unclassified non-coding RNA is filed under the name soil metagenome. RNAcentral's name for it is "partial contains internal transcribed spacer 2 and large subunit ribosomal RNA". The record is from RNAcentral.